CCUACGGGGGGCAGCAGUGGGGAAUAUUGCACAAUGGAGGGAACUCUGAUGCAGCGACGCCGCGUGAGUGAUGAAGGCCUUCGGGUCGUAAAACUCUGUCCUAAGGGACGAUAAUGACGGUACCUUAGGAGGAAGCCCCGGCUAACUACGUGCCAGCAGCCGCGGUAAUACGUAGGGGGCGAGCGUUGUCCGGAAUUAUUGGGCGUAAAGGGUGCGUAGGCGGCCUUUUAAGUCAGAUGUGAAAGGUCACGGCUCAACCGUGGUAAGCAUUUGAAACUGGAAGGCUUGAGUUAAGGAGAGGAAAGUGGAAUUCCUAGUGUAGCGGUGAAAUGCGUAGAUAUUAGGAGGAAUACCAGUGGCGAAGGCGACUUUCUGGCCUUAAACUGACGCUGAGGCACGAAAGCGUGGGGAGCAAACAGGAUUAGAUACCCUUGUAGUC
This 439-nucleotide ribosomal RNA is filed under the name uncultured Clostridium sp. RNAcentral describes it as "bacterial SSU rRNA". It matches the Rfam family "Bacterial small subunit ribosomal RNA", at positions 338 to 795 of the family's 1533-position model. Lineage: Bacteria; Bacillati; Bacillota; Clostridia; Eubacteriales; Clostridiaceae. The record is from RNAcentral.